RNAcentral lists this ribosomal RNA (388 nucleotides) under uncultured eukaryote. Its description in RNAcentral is "partial 18S ribosomal RNA". It matches the Rfam family "Eukaryotic small subunit ribosomal RNA", at positions 592 to 976 of the family's 1831-position model. The record is from RNAcentral.
CAAUAGCGUAUAUUAAAGUUGUUGCAGUUAAAAAGCUCGUAGUUGGAUUUCUGAUCGAGACAUCAGGACGGGUCCGAGAGGAUCAUGUACUUUGAUUUUGUUUUGAUCAUCCUUGGGGAGAGCAUUUCUGGCAUUCAGUUGUCGGGAUUGGGAUCCUCAUCGUUUACUGUGAAAAAAUUAGAGUGUUCAAAGCAGGCCUCGGCCUCUGAAUACAUUAGCAUGGAAUAAUAAGAUAGGACUUUGGUGGUCUAUUUUGUUGGUUUGCACGCCAAAGUAAUGAUUAAUAGGGAUAGUUGGGGGUAUUCGUAUUCAAUUGUCAGAGGUGAAAUUCUUGGAUUUAUGGAAGACGAACUACUGCGAAAGCAUUUACCAAGGAUGUUUUCAUUAA